Molecule: ribosomal RNA, 1571 nt
Filed under: Tritrichomonas augusta
Lineage: Eukaryota; Parabasalia; Tritrichomonadida; Tritrichomonadidae
Description: SSU rRNA
Rfam family: Eukaryotic small subunit ribosomal RNA
Source: RNAcentral
AACCUGGUUGAUCCUGCCAGUGAAGCACACUUCGGUCAUAGAUUAAGCCAUGCAAGUGUUAGUUCAGGCAACGAAACUGCGAACAGCUCAUUAACACGCUCAGAAUCUACUUGGUGGCAACCUUUCAGGUUUUAUUUGGAUAGCAGCAGUAAUUCUGGUGCUAAUACAUGCAAUUGUUUCACUGAGUUGAGAAACAGUGGAAAAGUUGACCCUUCGGGCACACCAAUCGAUUGAGCGACCUAUCAUGCUUGUACUUAGGGUCUUUACCUAGGUAGGCUAUCACGGGUAACGGGCGGUUACCGUCGGACUGCCGGAGAAGGCGCCUGAGAGAUAGCGACUAUAUCCACGGGUAGCAGCAGGCGCGAAACUUACCCACUCGAGACUUUCGGAGGUGGUAAUGACCAGUUACAUGUCAACCUUUUUGGUUGUUUGUAUAGGAUUGCACUUUUCCAGUGCAGUGAAACCUAGCAGAGGGCCAGUCUGGUGCCAGCAGCUGCGGUAAUUCCAGCUCUGCGAGUUUGCUCCCAUAUUGUUGCAGUUAAAACGCUCGUAGUCAGAAUUGCCUGCAAAGGCUUAUGAACUUCUGUUCGUUCACUGUGAACAAAUCAGGACGCUUAGUGUAUGGUUUCAGGAAUGACUUAGCGCAGUAUGAUAUCUUUACCUUUGGUAAGAUCAAAGAGAGCCACCGGGGGUAGAUCUAUUUCAUGGCGAACGGUGGAAUGUUUUGACCCAUGAGAGAGAAACGAAGGCGAAAGCAUCUACCUAGAGGGUUUCUGUCGAUCAAGGGCGAGAGUAGGAGUAUCCAACCGGAUCAGAGACCCGGGUAGUUCCUACCUUAAACGAUGCCGACAAGGGCUUGUCCUUAUAUAAGGGCAGGACCUUAGGAGAAAUCAUAGUUCUUGGGCUCUGGGGGAACUACGACCGCAAGGCUGAAACUUGAAGGAAUUGACGGAAGGGCACACCAGGGGUGGAGCUUGUGGCUUAAUUUGAAUCAACACGGGGAAACUUACCAGGACCAGAUGUUUUUUAUGACUGACAGGCUUCGGGUCUUUCAGGAUAUGAUUUUUGGUGGUGCAUGGCCGUUGGUGGUGCGUGGGUUGACCUGUCUAGCGUUGAUUCAGAUAACGAGCGAGAUUAUCGCCAAUUAAAUACUAGUUUCUGCUUUCAGAAAUACAGUUCUAAUUGGGACUCCCUGCGUAUCAAGCAGGAGGAAGAGGGUAGCAAUAACAGGUCCGUGAUGUCCUUUAGAUGCUCUGGGCUGCACGCGCGCUACAAUGUUAGGAUCAAAGAGAUGCUGUCCUGAAAAGGCUACAGCUACUCUCGCAAUACCUAACGUAGUUGGGAUUGAGGAUUGUAAUCAUCCUCAUGAACCAGGAAUCCCUUGUAAAUGCGUGUCAACAGCGCGCGUUGAAUACGUCCCUGCCCUUUGUACACACCGCCCGUCGCUCCUACCGAUUGGAUGACUCGGUGAAAUUAUCGGACCCUGCGGGGAAAGGUAAUUAAAUCACGUUAUCUAGAGGAAGGAGAAGUCGUAACAAGGUAACGGUAGGUGAACCUGCCGUUGGAUCAGU